This 766-nucleotide long non-coding RNA is filed under the name Mus musculus (house mouse). RNAcentral describes it as "sphingosine kinase 1, opposite strand lncRNA". Lineage: Eukaryota; Metazoa; Chordata; Mammalia; Rodentia; Muridae. The record is from RNAcentral.
CAGCCUGGGCUCGGCCACGCGCAGAUGAGGGGCAGGAUCCCCGGAUACGAUUGUGCGCCCGGUGCUGGAGGAACAGCUUAGGAAGUCCGCAAGAGGUGGGGUUCUGAGCCCGGCCUGAAGCAGCGCAUCCGCGGAGCGCGAAAGCGAGGGCGCAGCCCACAUGCCGGCGCCCAGCAUCCGAGCGGGCUUCGGAAUCUGGUCUUGCUGGAAAGAGAUGGCUCAGCGGUUAGGAGCACUGACUGCACUUUCAGAGGUCCUGAGUUCAAAUCCCAGCAACCACAUGGUGGCUCACAACUGUCCUGGAACUCACGCUGUAGACCAGGCUGGUCUCGAACUCGGAAAUCUGCCUGCCUCUGCCUCCCAAGUGCUGGAAUUAAAGGCCUGCGCCACCACGCCUGGCUUUUUUUUUUUUUUUAAGUUGUAUUUAUGCUGUCCUCAGACACACCAGGAACUAAAAAACUAGGAAAAACUAAAGGUCCCACCCUGUCUCCCAGUCUUUGGCCACUGGCAUCUUUCUUGAUCGAUCCAAACCAAUGGGCACAGGGACCUUUAACGUUUGGACAUGCAGAUUCCCAAUUAAAUCAAAGCAUUAGAACCAAUCCCCAUCAAAGAGAGACCCUCCUGUUCCCAGACUGUCCAGGACAUGGUGUUCCAAUGCUGAGAGUUCAUAGAUGCUGUUCCAUGAUACCAGGCACUGGCCUGGGGUGCUGCAAGCCACGUGGGGAGACCUGAAGGCACAGACAGGCCUCACAAGAUCCCUGGCUGC